GAGCGCGCCCUUCGGGGUGAGCGGCGGACGGGUGAGUAACGCGUGGGAAUAUGCCCUUCUCUAAGGAAUAGCCUCGGGAAACUGAGAGUAAUACCUUAUACGCCCUACGGGGGAAAGAUUUAUCGGAGAAGGAUUAGCCCGCGUUAGAUUAGGUAGUUGGUGGGGUAAUGGCCUACCAAGCCUACGAUCUAUAGCUGGUUUGAGAGGAUGAUCAGCCACACUGGGACUGAGACACGGCCCAGACUCCUACGGGAGGCAGCAGUAGGGAAUCUUAGACAAUGGGGGAAACCCUGAUCUAGCCAUGCCGCGUGUGUGAUGAAGGCCUUAGGGUCGUAAAGCACUUUCGCCAGAGAUGAUAAUGACAGUAUCUGGUAAAGAAACCCCGGCUAACUCCGUGCCAGCAGCCGCGGUAAUACGGAGGGG
This 423-nucleotide ribosomal RNA is filed under the name uncultured Alphaproteobacteria bacterium. RNAcentral describes it as "bacterial SSU rRNA". It matches the Rfam family "Bacterial small subunit ribosomal RNA", at positions 64 to 533 of the family's 1533-position model. The record is from RNAcentral. Lineage: Bacteria; Pseudomonadati; Pseudomonadota; Alphaproteobacteria.